UGACCGCGUAGCUCAGCUGGCAGAGCAUUGGGCUAGUAUUCCAAAGGUCGUAGGUUCGAUCCGCACCGUUUAA
This 73-nucleotide transfer RNA is filed under the name Paramuricea clavata. Its description in RNAcentral is "tRNA-Thr". The stretch from base 7 to 68 matches the Rfam family "tRNA", at positions 6 to 65 of the family's 71-position model. Rfam says of the family: Transfer RNA (tRNA) molecules are approximately 80 nucleotides in length. Their secondary structure includes four short double-helical elements and three loops (D, anti-codon, and T loops). Lineage: Eukaryota; Metazoa; Cnidaria; Anthozoa; Malacalcyonacea; Plexauridae. The record is from RNAcentral.